RNAcentral lists this ribosomal RNA (1022 nucleotides) under Pinus taeda (loblolly pine). RNAcentral describes it as "SSU rRNA". It matches the Rfam family "Eukaryotic small subunit ribosomal RNA", at positions 787 to 1823 of the family's 1831-position model. The record is from RNAcentral. Lineage: Eukaryota; Viridiplantae; Streptophyta; Pinopsida; Pinales; Pinaceae.
CUUAUGCUCUGAAUACAUUAGGAUGGAAUAACGUGAUAGGAGUCUGGUCCUAUUGUGUUGGCCUUCGGGACCGGAGUAAUGAUUAAUAGGGACUGUCGGGGGCAUUCGUAUUUCAUUGUCAGAGGUGAAAUUCUUGGAUUUAUGAAAGACGGACCACUGCGAAAGCAUUUGCCAAGGAUGUUUUCAAUAAUCAAGAACGAAAGUUGGGGGCUCGAAGACGAUCAGAUACCGUCCUAGUCUCAACCAUAAACGAUGCCGACCAGGGAUCGGCGGAUGUUGCUCUAAGGACUCCGCUAGCACCUUCUGAGAAAUCAGAGUGUUUGGGUUCCGGGGGGAGUAUGGUCGCAAGGCUGAAACUUAAAGGAAUUGACGGAAGGGCACCACCAGGAGUGGAGCCUGCGGCUUAAUUUGACUCAACACGGGGAAACUUACCAAGUCCAGACAUAGUAAGGGUUGACAGAUUGAGAGCUCUUUCUUGAUUCUAUGGGUGGUGGUGCAUGGUCGUUCUUAGUUGGUGGAGCGAUUUGUUUGGUUAAUUCCGAUAACGAACGAGACCUCAGCCUGCUAAAUAGCUACAUGGAGGUUCCCCUUCGCGGCUAGCUUCUUAGAGGGACUAUGGCCGUUUAGGCCAUGGAAGUUUGAGGUAAUAACAGGUCUGUGAUGCCCUUAGAUGUUCUGGGCCGCACACGUGCUACACUGAUGCAGCAAACGAGCUUUUCUUCCUGGUUCGAGAGGAUCGGGAAAUCUUCUCAAAUUGCAUCGUGAUGGGGAUAGACCGUUGCAAUUAUUGGUCUUCAACGAGGAAUUCCUAGUAAGCGCGUGUCAUCAACUCGUGUUGACUACGUCCCUGCCCUUUGUACACACCGCCCGUCGCUCCUACCGAUUGAAUGAUCCGGUGAGGUGUUCGGAUUGCAUCGACAAUGGUGGUUCGCCGCCAUCGACGUCGUGAGAAGUUCAUUGAACCUUAUCAUUUAGAGGAAGGAGAAGUCGUAACAAGGUUACCGUAGGUGAACUUGCGGUAG